GACAGAGGGGGCAAGCGUUGCUCGGAAUCACUGGGCGUAAAGGGCGCGUAGGCGGCCUGAUAAGUAGGGGGUGAAAUCCUGCGGCUUAACCGCAGGGCUGCCUUCUAAACUGUCAGGCUUGAGCACAGUAGAGGCAGGUGGAAUUCCCGGUGUAGCGGUGGAAUGCGUAGAGAUCGGGAAGAACAUCAGUGGCGAAGGCGGCCUGCUGGGCUGUUGCUGACGCUGAGGCGCGACAGCGUGGGGAGCAAACAGG
This 253-nucleotide ribosomal RNA is filed under the name uncultured bacterium. Its description in RNAcentral is "partial 16S ribosomal RNA". It matches the Rfam family "Bacterial small subunit ribosomal RNA", at positions 524 to 776 of the family's 1533-position model. The record is from RNAcentral.